CCAGGUGGGAUGGAGCUGGAUGGCAUGAGAUUUCAUCAUGCUACUUUGGCAUGCAAUUUAAAACUUAUGAAUAUUUCUGGAAUUUUCUUUUUAAUAUUUUCAGAUUGUUACCAGUGGAAGGUAUCCAGGUUCUUGGUGUUUUGAACAAAGAACUGGACAAAACACACAAACAAAGCAAGGAAAGAAUGAAGCAACAAAAGCAGAGAUUUACUGAAAACAAAAGUACAUGCCACAGGGUGGGAACCACCUUAGCAUAGGGGCUCAAGAGCCUCCUUACAGGAUUUUCUAGGGUUUAAAUACCCUCUAGAGGUUUCCCAUUGGUUACUUGGUGUAUACCUUAUGUAAAUGAAGUACUAGCCCACAAUCAGUCUGAUUGGUUGUGAAAAACACCCAAUUAGAGGCUGAAGCGAAGUUACAAAGUUACACUCCUACACAAAUAUCUGAUUGGUUGCAGAAAGCUACCAAGCAGAGAUACUUUCAAUUUUCUAUCUGCCACGCAGAAAAAAAAGAGGGGUUUGCCAAGGGAGUAGCUUCGGGUCCUUUUGUUACUUAGGUGUGGGAAGUUGGGGUUUUCCUUUUGAUUUAGCUCUAGGAAGCCAGCAUGAAUCGGCCUUAGGUUCCCUGCCUCCAGACCCUAUUCUCCUGCCUCAAGAUCAUGUUUAACCCUUGGUAACUGAAACUGCCUAUUGCAUAUAAGAAAGAACUACUGUAUUUUAAUUAUAUUAACUCCUCUAAAUUAUUUUGGUCUUAAGCUAGAAUAACUUUUAUGGAGAAAAAUAUCAAUAAUUGGUCACUGAAAAAAAUAGAAGGGAAAAUAUUCAUCUGAAGGGUCAGUUCACUGACACUACUAUUUAAUAUGCAUUUUUAGCCAGAUUUAAUAGUCAUGAGAAAAUCAUCCCUGACAUCCAGGGACUGACCUGACACAGCUACACCCCAGUGUUGGGAGAUAGCUUGACAUUCACAACUAGGCUAUGAUUUUCCUAACACCAACUAAUCAGACAGGGUCACUCUGUGACUGUGGUGAAGCAAGGCAAAAAAAAAAAAAAGACCAGUUUAUAAUUUUGUCUAAGCAGAGACAAAAACAAUGCGACUGUGCAAACCACAAAACAUUAGCUUUUAUUAUUAAUAAUUUUACCCAGUAGUCUGGUAACAUUGAUAUUGGCCAGUCAGGUUGGUAAGAUAAUCCAAACAUUUACCUAUGCAGAACAGACUAAGACAAAAAUAAAGUAGGCACAUAAUAAAUUUCAGCAUAAAGACCAUAUAUGUAUAUUAUCUAGUACAGGAAGCCCACUACUAUUUAGUCCUACUUCACAGAUUUGAUUCUUAGUUAACUACUUAAUUAGAUGCCUUACCAAAGAAAAUUACAAGCUGUCUUGGCAUGUAUUUUGAAAUUUAAAAUAAUGUGAGCUUUUUUUAAGUAACUACUCUUGGGGCUUAAAACACAAUUGCAUACGGUGUCUGAAAUGGAUUUGGCUCCUCUUCUUACACUGUCAGUAAUUAACUGAAAAAAUUGAUAAAUAUUAUGUAAUUAUCAGUUAAUUACUGUUAACCCAGGCAAACAAGUUAAUUUCACAUAAAACAUGAAAUCAGGCCGGGCGCGGUAGCUCACGCCAUUAAACCCAGCACUUUGGGAGGCCGAGGUGGGUGGAUCCCCUGAGGUCAGGAGUUCGAGACCAGCCGGGCCAACAUGGCAAAACCCCGUCUCUACUAAAAAUAUAAAAAUUAGCCGGGCGUGGUUGUGGCGCCUGUAAUCCCAGCUACUCCGGAGGCUGGAGCAGGAGAAUCGCUUAGAACCUGGGAGGCGGUGGUUGCAGUGAGCAGAGAUCGUGCCACUGCACUCCAGCCUAGGCAACAGAGAGAGGCACUGCCACAAAAAAAAAAAAAAAAAAAGAAAAGAAAUCCGCCACGAUUCAGAUUUUUAAUGCUAACAAGGCUUUAUAAAUGCACACACUUUAAAUAUAAGGAGUGUGAGGACAGAUAUUUCCACAAUCUAAGUGCUGUUAUGACAAUAAUUACGAGAGCUCAGUAAUAGAAACUAUGUUUAACUUUACCUCGCUAGCAGCCAGGAGUCUAGCACAUUAUAGGUACUAAACAACAUUGUUUAGUACCUAUAAUGUGGUUUCCGAGAAGCAGCGCAAACACAGCCGGCCACGAUGCCAGCAGUGCCUGCCCACGUGAGCUAGGCGACGUCCUCUUAAGCGGCUGCGGCGCAUGCCCACAGCAGGGGAGGCGUUAGAGGCGCGGGCGGGCGCCGUGAGGCGCGGGGCUUUGCUCCUGGGUUCUCGGCGUUGGCCAGCUGGACCUGACCCUAGGGCGGCUUGCGCAGCUGUCGGGACGUGACUACGUUCAGCCGCGUCGGGCGUGCUUCCCAGACUUGCCCAAGUUCGGGUGCCCUAGCUGCCCCUUUGCAACCGCUGGCCUACCCCGCCCGCGCGCGAGAAGGUUGCGACGGGAGGUGAGUGGAGCUCGCCAGCGCCGGGACCGCGGAUUGGCUGCCUCGGCUUCCUCUUUUCCCCGUGAGCUCCGGCGUGAGGCGCUGAAGCUGCCGGCAGCCGGGAGGCCGCCCACACCGUCGGCCGGGUUGCGCUUUGCUUUUGCGGUGAGGCGUUGACCACGCCCAUGUGAAUUGGAGCUCUCCGCCAGCAGGAAUUUCCGGAAGGAGUUUGAAUUUUUGUGAUUUUUUUGCUUGUUUGGUCGGUGGAAUAUGUUGGGAUUUAUGUCUGCCUCUGAACAAGUGUUUUGCUCACAUCGUAAAUGACUUUCUCUCCGAAACGCUAAAUAUUCUCUCCCGCAGGAGCUCAUAUCCUUAUUUUCCAUGAUAGAUCUUAACGACAGUAUAUGCAAAAGAUAUAUAAAGAUGAUAACUAAUAUAGUUAUAUUGAGCCUGAUCAUUUGCAUUUCGUUAGCUUUCUGGAUUAUGUCAAUGACUGCAAGCACCUAUUAUGGUAACUUACGGCCUAUUUCUCCGUGGCGUUGGCUGUUUUCUGUUGUUGUUCCUGUUCUGAUUGUCUCUAAUGGCCUUAAAAAGAAAAGCCUAGAUCACAGUGGGGCUCUAGGAGGGCUAGUGGUUGGAUUUAUCCUAACCAUUGCAAAUUUCAGCUUUUUUACCUCUUUGCUGAUGUUUUUCUUGUCUUCUUCGAAACUCACUAAAUGGAAGGGAGAAAUCAAGAAGCGUCUAGAUUCAGAAUAUAAGGAAGGUGGGCAAAGGAAUUGGGUUCAGGUGUUCUGUAAUGGAGCUGUACCCACAGAACUGGCCCUGCUAUACAUGAUAGAAAAUGGCCCCGGGGAAAUCCCAGUCGAUUUUUCCAAGCAGUACUCCGCUUCCUGGAUGUGUUUGUCUCUCUUGGCUGCACUGGCCUGCUCUGCUGGAGACACAUGGGCUUCAGAAGUUGGCCCAGUUCUGAGUAAAAGUCCUCCGAGACUGAUAACAACCUGGGAGAAAGUUCCAGUUGGUACCAAUGGAGGAGUUACAGUGGUGGGCCUUGUCUCCAGUCUCCUUGGUGGUAGCUUUGUGGGCAUUGCAUACUUCCUCACACAGCUGAUUUUUGUGAAUGAUUUAGACAUUUCUGCCCCCCAGUGGCCAAUUAUUGCAUUUGGUGGUUUAGCUGGAUUACUAGGAUCAAUUGUGGACUCAUACUUAGGGGCUACAAUGCAGUAUACUGGGUUGGAUGAAAGCACUGGCAUGGUGGUCAACAGCCCAACAAAUGAGGCAAAGCACAUAGCAGGGAAACCCAUUCUUGAUAACAACGCAGUGAAUCUGUUUUCUUCUGUUCUUAUUGCCCUCUUGCUCCCAACUGCUGCUUGGGGUUUUUGGCCCAGGGGGUGAACUUUAUUUCAUUUCCACAGGUUGAAACUGGAUCAUGGAAGCAGAGGCCUAGAAGCAUGGGACCUUUGUGAGGUUUUCCCAAGCUGGGGACACUAUGACAUAGUGUUGGAUUUGCCAUCCUGGACCUUACUCUGUCACUGACCGGAGUGACUCCCUUGUCCUGCUAGUGGUCAACUAUGCUGGCAAUCCUAACACAAUGGAUUCUAGGCUUCUUUUGUCUUCCUCUGCCUAUCCUGGGAGUCCCCCUUUGGGAUUGGUUAUUAGUGAACCUGCUUCACAAUAGAAAUAUGAACAUCAAAGGAGAUUCUCUUCCAGAGAAGAAAAGAGGAGAGCUGGAGAGAAGGCUUCCAUCUUCUCAGAUAAAAUAUAAAUAAUCAUGAGCAGAAUAUUGGCAGAAAUAUGGUGUUAAAGGCCAUUCUGGUUGAGAUCUCAGAUGAAAAUGAGGAACAUGUUAUUGGAAACUGGGGAAAGGUGAUUCUUGUUAUGAAGUGCCAAAGAACUUGGCCAAACUAUGUUCUACUGUUUUGUGGAAGAAAAACUUGCCAGCAAUGAAACUGGAAUCUUUAGCUGAGGAGAUUUCUAAGUAAAGUCUUGAAGAUGUGGCUUGUUUCCUCCUGAGUACUAUAGUAAAAUGCGAGAGGAAAGAGAUGAAUUACAAAGGGAAUUUUUAAACAAAAGAAACAAAAAGAUUUGAAAAAUUCUCAACCAUCCAUAUUGAAAAAAAAAUCAAACUUUGUUCUAAAGGGAACAUCAAAGAUGUGGCUUGAUAAAGAGUUUAUGGGAUUCUAUUAGCAGAAACAUUGCCAAUUGGAACUGAAGGGAAUGGAGAUGGGAUAAAAUAAAGGCUGCCAAAUUUUUGGAAUUCUACAGGACAAGAUCAUAGCGCCAUUUGGCUGCAAAUGCUUGCUCUUCUUCAAGAAAAUGGGAGAAUAACCCAAAGGUGAUUUCAGUGAUCACCAGGGCUGCCACUCCCACCACAGGUCCAGGAGGGAAGGAUGUUUCCUACUGGGUUUCAGAAAGUGGGGUACUUACAGAGAGCCACGUGGAAGGGGCCCUGGCAGAAAGCCAUAGGGGCAGGGCCCUGGGAGACCCCAAGGGAUAUGACCACCCCACAGAGCCAUGGGGGUGACACUGUCACCCCAUGGGUCCAGAAGAUGGGACCAUCACUUCAGUGGAUCUGGAAGAUGGAGCAUCAAACAAAAGAGGAUUAUUCUUUUUUUUUAUUAUUUCAACUUUUAUUUUAGAUUCGGGGGGUACAUGUGCAGGUUACAUGGGUUUAUUGUGUGAUGCUUAGUUUGGGGAUAUGAUUAUUUCCAUCACUGAGGUAGUAAGCAUAGUAACCAACAGUUAGUUUUUCAACCCUUGUCCCCUCCUACCCUCCUUUGUCUAGUUUUCCAUGUGUAUUGUUGCCAUCUUUAUGUCCAUGAGUACUCAAUAUUUAGUUUCCAUUUAUAAGUGAUAGCAUGCAACAUUUGUUUUUCUGUUUCUGCAUUAAUUAGCUCAGAAAAAUGACCUCUAGCUGUAUCCAUGUUGCUGCAAAGGACAUAAUUUCGUUCUUUUUUAUGGUUGCAUGGUUCCACAGUUUUCCAUGGUAUAUAUGUACCACAUUUUAUUUAGAGUAUAAUUCUUUAGCCUUAAGGUCUAAUGGAAUUUGCCUUGCUAGGUUUUGGACUUGUUUGAGACCUAUUACCAUUCUUACUUUCCAAUUUCUGUCUUUUGGAAUGGGAAUGUCUAUCCUGUGCCUGGCCUAUCAUUGCAUUUUGGAAACUUGUCUGGUUUCACAAGUUUACAGUGGGAAAGGAAUUUUGCCUCAGAAUGAAUCAUACCUCAAAUCUCACCUAUAUCUGAUUUAGAUGACGUUUAGAUGAGACUGAACUUUAAGACUUUAGAAAUCAUGCUGGAGUGAGUUAAGACCUUUGCAGCUGUUGGAAUGGACUGAACAUAUUCUGCAUGUAACAAGAGAAUGAAUGUUGGGGGUUAGAGGUGGAAUGCUAUGAACUGAUUUGUUUCCCCAAAAUCCGUAUGUUGAAGCCCUAACCCCUAACGUGACUAUAUUUGGAGACAGGGCCUAAAAGGAGGUAAUUAAGGUUAAAUGAGGUAAUAAGGGCAGAGACCUAAUCCAAUAGGGCUUGUGACUUAUUAAAAGAAGAGACACCAGAGCUGUCUGUCUCUACUAUGUGAGGACACAGUGAAAAGGUGGCCAUCUAUAAGCCAGGGCUCAGGUGAUCCUGCCACCUCAGCCUGCCAGGUAGCUGGGACUACAGGUACAUGCCACCAUGCCUGGCUAAAUUAUUAUUUUGGAGAUAGAGUCUCACUGUCACCCAGGCUGGAGUGCAGUGACAUGGUCACAGCUUACUGCAGCCUUGACCUCCCAGGCUCAAGCCAUCCUCCCACCUCAGCCUCCUGAGUAGCUGGGACUAGAGGUGCACACCACCACCCCUAGAUAACUUUUAAUUGUUUUGUAGAGACAUGGUCUCCCUAUAUUGCACAUAAUGGUCUUGAACUCCUGGGCUCAAGCAAUCCUCCCACCUUGGCCUUCCAAAGUACUGGGAUUAUAGGCAUGAGCCACCAUGCCCAGUGUGAAGAUGAUAAAAAAAAAUCUACCACUUGAAAAAGGAUCUGGUACCAGAGCCUUUGACAACUUUUAAAGAACAGAUAAUUUUUUUUUUAAGGUAUUACUUAGAUUGUAACACUUCCCAAUUUAUUUUAGGAUGUCAGAAUAAAUUGAAAAUCCAUUUUCUAAAUAAAAGUAAAAACUGUAGUCUGGUAUUAAAAAAAAAACAUUCAAGCAAGAUUUGUUUCAGGAAUGCAAUAGUGUUUGAACAACAGGAAAUCUACCAACAUAAUCCGUUACUAUAACAAUUAAAAGAGAGAAAAAUAUAUGGUGAGAUCAACAAAUGCCAAAAUAUUUAUUUGACUAAAUUACUAGCUAUCUGUAUUAAGCCAUUCUUGCAUUGCUAUAAAGAAAUCCUGAGACUGGGAAAUCUAUAAAAAAAACAGGUUUAAUUGGCUCACAGUUCUGAAGACUGUACAGGACACAUAGUGCGGGCAUUUGCUUCUGGGGAGGCUUCAGGAAGCUUUGACUCAUGGCAGAAGGCAAAGCAGGAGCUUGCAUGUCACAUGGUGAAAACAGGCGCAAGAGAGGGAGUGGGUGGGGAGGUGUCACACACUCAAACAACCAGAUCUCCCAAGAACUCACGAUCCCCGAGGAUAGCACCAAGCCAUGAGGGAUCUGCCCCCGUGACCCAAACAUUUCCCCCCAAGGCCCCACCUCCAACAUGGGGGAUUAUAACCACCCCCAAUGACCCAAACAUUUCCCCCCAGGCCCCACCUCCAACAUGGGGGAUUAUAAUUCAGCGUGAGAUUUGGUGGGGACAUAUAUUCAAACUAGAUCACCAUUCUAACAAAAAUUCUAAGUGAAUAAAAAUAGGAGGAAACUACCUAAAUAUAACAAAGACCAUUUAGCAAACUACAGUGGCAAAUAGUUUUUUGAAUGGAAGGCCAAGUAAACAAUUUACGUUCAAAUUAGAAACUAGGCAUAGAAUCAUGUUGGCACCGUCUUUAUUUAACACCGUCUUAGAAGUUUUCAUGAAUACAAUAAGAUGAGAAAAUGAAAGAACUGGCAUAAAAAUUUAAAAAAAACAGUUUAAAUGAUUUCCUUCUGCUGAUGAUAUUAUAUACCUAGAAAACCUGAGACAGCCAGUAAAAUACUUGUAGAGUUAACAAGAUAAAUUGGUAAGGUGGCUACAUAUCAAAGCAAUAUACUAAAUUCAAUAGGUUUUUCAAUUUUCUGGCAAUAAGCACCUAGAAAUAAAAUAUUCUAGAGAAAAAAUAUUCCAUUCAUAAUAAUGGAAAAACUAUAUAAAGUGCUUCGGAAUAAAUUUUUAAAAAAACUAUGAAAAGAAAAAGAAAAUUUUAUUGACAGCCACAAUUUAAGAACAUUAGACCUGAGAAAGGGGAUGAUAAAUUAUAUGUUUCGAUGAGAAAACGUAACAAAAAUGGCAGUCUUUUCAAAAGUAAUAUAUUAAUAGUUGUCAUCCAGUUAUGUUUAUUUUAGAAAAGGAUAAAAAUAACUGUAACAUUUAUAUGAAAGGUGAAAUGCUACAGAAUAGCCAAAAAAUAUGAGAAAUAAGAACAAUGAGGGCCGGGCACAGUGGCUCAUGCCUGUAAUCCCAGCACUUUGGGAGGCCGAGGUGGGCAGAUCAUGAGGUCAGGAGACUCAGACCAUCCUGGCUAACAUGGUGAAACCCCGUCUUUACUAAAAAUACAAAAAAAUUAGCCAGCGUGGUGGCAGGUGCCUGCAGCCCCAGCUACUCAGGAGGCUGAGGCAGGAAAAUUGUUUGAACCUGGGAGGCGGAGGUUGCAGUGAGCUAAGAUCGCGCCACUGCACUCCAGCCUGGGCAACAGAGUGAGACUCCAUCUCAAAAAAAAAAAAAAAUUAAGUGGAAUUUGCCUUAUUAUAUUUUAAACAUUUGAAACAAAUACUAUAUCAAAUCAAUAUGAUAUUACAGUAGGAAAACACAAGAAAAGUCAAUAACCUAUACAGAGAAUGUCCCCCUCUCUAUAUAUGAAUUUAAUAUAUAAAAAAGAUUGGGCACAGUGUCUCACGCCUGUAAUCCCAGCACUUUGGGAGCCUGAGGUGGGCAGAUCACUUGAGGUCAGGAGUUCGAGACCAGCCUGGCCAACAUGGCAAAACGCUGUCUCUACUAAAAAUAAAAAAAUUAGCCAGGUGUGGUGGUAUGCGCCUGUAAUCCCAGCUACUCAGGAGCCUGAGGCGGAAGAAUCACUUGAACCUGGGAGGCGGAGGUUGCAGUGAGCUGAGAUGGCACCACUGAACUCCAGCAUGGGUGACAGAGCGAAACUCUGUCUCAAAAAAAAUGAUAAAAAUAUAUUAAAAAGAUGAUAGUUUAACUGGAGAGAGGGUGGAUUAUUUUUUAAAUGGCAUGGCACAACUGGUUGCCCAUCAGGAAGAAAAUAAAUUUAAACCAGCUAUUUACCAUAUUCAAAUAUAAAUUGUAGAUAGAAUAUGACUGAACUUUUUUUUCUAGAUAUUUCAAGAAAAUAGAGUACCAUAUUUACAAUUUAGGAGGGGAGAGACUUUCUUAACUACAAAUGAAAACUCUGAAACCAUGCAAGAAAUGGUAAACAUAUUUGAAUUUAAAGAAACAAAAAUAGGCCAGGGAUGGUGGCUCACACAUGUAAUUCUAGCACCUUGGGAGGCCAGCCUGGGCAACAGACUCAGUCUCUAAAAAAAUAUAUAAGAAAUUAGCCGAGCAUGCUGGCACAGCCUGUAGUCCCAGCUACUAGGGAGGCUGACAUGGGAAGAUUGCUUUUGCUCAGGAGGUUGAAACUGGUGAGCUGCGAUCACAUCAAUGCACUCCAGCCUGGAUGACAGAGUGACACUCUGUCUCAAAUAAAGAGAUAGAUAGAUAGAUAGAUAGAUAGAUAGAUAGAUAGAUAGAUAGACAGACAGACAGAUUAUAGAUAGAUAGAUGAUAGAUGACAAAAAUAAAAACAAAAAACAAAAAAAUCCCCUUAAUAGUCAAAAUUCCAAAUCGGCCAAUUUCUACAAUAUGCUACAUACAGUUGGCAAAAUCUACUGGAAUUUUGACUUUGUGUUUUAUCUAUGUAGCAAUUUUCAAAUAAUUGACAUCUUAACAAUAUUUCGUCUUUUAAUCAUAAACAUUGUAUGUCUCACUGUUUAAGUUUUUGUUGUCUCUCAGAAAUACCUAGUAGUUUUCAGUGAACAGGUUGUUCCAAGUGGAACAGGUCUAUGCAAACCUAUCCCCAAAGUCAGAGUGUUAUAAAUAAAGUUUCAGUGCCACAAAAGAAAUCGCACUCGAAUGUAAAAUUUUCUUUGUAAUUCACAGCAAGGCAAGGUACUUCUAUAGCAGGGUGCGCCCUUACAGAUGGAGGAAUGGUGAGCACACACUUGGACAAGGGAGGGGAAGGGUUCCUUAUCCCUGACGCACGUGGCCCCUGCGGCUAUGUUGUUCCCCUAUUGGCUAGGGUUAGACCGCACAGGUUAAACUAAUUCCAAUUGGCUAAUUUAAAGAGAGUGACGGGGUGAGUGGUUUGGUGGGAAAAAUGGUUAUGACAGAAUGAGUCAGGGUGGAGCAGGUGAUCGGAAUGAGUCAGGGUGGAGCAGGUAAUUGAAAAAUAUUGCUUUAUCAGGAAGUUACGUUUAAAAGUAGAAGGCAGAGAAUUGAACAUACUGACAUAUUGAUUCUUUGAAAAGAAAUUUAGAACUUAUAUCUAACAAGAGGAAGCUAAGAGGCCAAAGAAAGAGGCUGAUGUAUCCGGUUUUUCAGAAAGAAACAUUUAAUAAAGACUUAUGAACAGAAGCCAUGUCCAUGUCUUGGGCGGUAGGGAGACAACAGUGUCUGGCACCAUUACUCUCAAGACCCAGGACUUACAUACCAUAGGAAAAGCAUGACUCAGAAGGAUGUGUGGGACAACUGAAGUAUGAUAACAUUGUUAUGGAAUUGCUGGGAAGGGAAGAGCAUGGUACUUUAAAUGAUGAAGGCAGGAAGGGAGGAAGGAAAGUUCUGGGUAGAGUAGGGCAAGGUCCCUGACUAGGGCUCCACCCCCAUGGACCUAGCUAAGGACAGGGCUUGGAGCCCUGCCUUAGAGCCCAAAUGUUGCAUUUCCCAAGUCCAUCUUGGCCCACCAUGCCUCCAAUCCUGUGGCUAUAAAAACCCGAGACCCUAGCAGGCACACCCACAAGCUGCUGGAGGUGG
RNA transcript from Symphalangus syndactylus (siamang), 10566 nucleotides. It is a transcript of the gene named transmembrane protein 19, with no coding region annotated. The record is from RefSeq and is a predicted model, not a curated record. Lineage: Eukaryota; Metazoa; Chordata; Mammalia; Primates; Hylobatidae.